CCUACGGGAGGCAGCAGUAGGGAAUCUUCGGCAAUGGGGGCAACCCUGACCGAGCAACGCCGCGUGAGUGAAGAAGGUUUUCGGAUCGUAAAUCUCUGUUGUAAGAGAAGAACGUGUGUGAGAGUGGAAAGUUCACACAGUGACGGUAACUUACCAGAAAGGGACGGCUAACUACGUGCCAGCAGCCGCGGUAAUAAUCCGUAGGUCCC
This 209-nucleotide ribosomal RNA is filed under the name uncultured bacterium. RNAcentral's name for it is "partial 16S ribosomal RNA". It matches the Rfam family "Bacterial small subunit ribosomal RNA", at positions 338 to 535 of the family's 1533-position model. The record is from RNAcentral.